AUCGAAACGCAAUACGCCACGGAAAUGCUUUUGGCAUUCGGAUGGUAUGGCGAGCUUUCGCCGUCCACGUUUCUCUUUCUUCAAGAAGACAAAAACCGCGUCAAUCCAGUUUAGGCUGGGUCGGUUCCCCGAAUGGGCCCGUAGCUCAGUUGGUUAGAGCACACGCNUGAUAAGCGUGGG
RNAcentral lists this unclassified non-coding RNA (180 nucleotides) under uncultured Rhizobiaceae bacterium. Its description in RNAcentral is "partial 16S-23S ribosomal RNA intergenic spacer". The record is from RNAcentral. Lineage: Bacteria; Pseudomonadati; Pseudomonadota; Alphaproteobacteria; Hyphomicrobiales; Rhizobiaceae.